CGUGCUUAACACAUGCAAGUCGAACGGAAAGGCCCUGCUUUUGUGGGGUGCUCGAGUGGCGAACGGGUGAGUAACACGUGAGUAACCUGCCCUUGACUUUGGGAUAACUUCAGGAAACUGGGGCUAAUACCGGAUAGGAGCUCCUGCUGCAUGGUGGGGGUUGGAAAGUUUCGGCGGUUGGGGAUGGACUCGCGGCUUAUCAGCUUGUUGGUGGGGUAGUGGCUUACCAAGGCUUUGACGGGUAGCCGGCCUGAGAGGGUGACCGGCCACAUUGGGACUGAGAUACGGCCCAGACUCCUACGGGAGGCAGCAGUGGGGAAUAUUGCACAAUGGGCGGAAGCCUGAUGCAGCAACGCCGCGUGCGGGAUGACGGCCUUCGGGUUGUAAACCGCUUUCGCCUGUGACGAAGCGUGAGUGACGGUAAUGGGUAAAGAAGCACCGGCUAACUACGUGCCAGCAGCCGCGGUGAUACGUAGGGUGCGAGCGUUGUCCGGAUUUAUUGGGCGUAAAGGGCUCGUAGGUGGUUGAUCGCGUCGGAAGUGUAAUCUUGGGGCUUAACCCUGAGCGUGCUUUCGAUACGGGUUGACUUGAGGAAGGUAGGGGAGAAUGGAAUUCCUGGUGGAGCGGUGGAAUGCGCAGAUAUCAGGAGGAACACCAGUGGCGAAGGCGGUUCUCUGGGCCUUUCCUGACGCUGAGGGGCGAAAGCGUGGGGAGCGAACAGGCUUAGAUACCCUGGUAGUCCACGCUGUAAACGGUGGGUACUAGGUGUGGGGUCCAUUCCACGGGUUCCGUGCCGUAGCUAACGCUUUAAGUACCCCGCCUGGGGAGUACGGCCGCAAGGCUAAAACUCAAAGGAAUUGACGGGGCCCCGCACAAGCGGCGGAGCAUGCGGAUUAAUUCGAUGCAACGCGUAGAACCUUACCUGGGUUUGACAUGGAUCGGGAGUGCUCAGAGAUGGGUGUGCCUCUUUUGGGGUCGGUUCACAGGUGGUGCAUGGCUGUCGUCAGCUCGUGUCGUGAGAUGUUGGGUUAAGUCCCGCAACGAGCGCAACCCUUGUUCACUGUUGCCAGCACGUUAUGGUGGGGACUCAGUGGAGACCGCCGGGGUCAACUCGGAGGAAGGUGGGGAUGACGUCAAGUCAUCAUGCCCCUUAUGUCCAGGGCUUCACGCAUGCUACAAUGGCUGGUACAGAGAGUGGCGAGCCUGUGAGGGUGAGCGAAUCUCGGAAAGCCGGUCUCAGUUCGGAUUGGGGUCUGCAACUCGACCUCAUGAAGUCGGAGUCGCUAGUAAUCGCAGAUCAGCAACGCUGCGGUGAAUACGUUCCCGGGGCUUGUACACACCGCCCGUCAAGUCAUGAAAGUUGGUAACACCCGAAGCCGGUGGCCUAACCGUUGUGGGGGAGCCGUCGAAGGUGGGACUGGUGAUUAGGACUAAAU
This 1436-nucleotide ribosomal RNA is filed under the name uncultured organism. RNAcentral's name for it is "partial small subunit ribosomal RNA". It matches the Rfam family "Bacterial small subunit ribosomal RNA". The record is from RNAcentral.